Molecule: small RNA, 150 nt
Filed under: Clostridioides difficile
Lineage: Bacteria; Bacillati; Bacillota; Clostridia; Peptostreptococcales; Peptostreptococcaceae
Description: M-box riboswitch (ykoK leader)
Rfam family: M-box riboswitch aptamer (ykoK leader)
About the family: M-box riboswitch, also know as ykoK leader is described as a metaloregulatory RNA that sense divalent metals and function as a genetic control element of genes related to divalent metal transport in bacteria.
Source: RNAcentral
AAUAUCUCGGUAGGUGAGGCUACCAUAGGGAUACGGGUUGCUGCCGCAAAAUAGUGGAGACACUAUGAGAAGGUCAACAGUCUAUGUCGAUUCCAAGGCAUAAUCUAAUGCAAUUUCAUUGCCCUAUGAAGUUAAAGCUUGAACGAUGAU